This 460-nucleotide ribosomal RNA is filed under the name uncultured bacterium. RNAcentral describes it as "bacterial SSU rRNA". It matches the Rfam family "Bacterial small subunit ribosomal RNA", at positions 1 to 507 of the family's 1533-position model. The record is from RNAcentral.
AGUAGUUUGAUCAGUGGCUACGAGGACGAACGCUGGCGGUGUGCUUCACACAUGCAAGUCGAACGAGGUAGCAAUACCUAGUGGCGGACGGGUGAGUAACGCGUGGGAAUCUGCCUUUAGAUGGGGGAUAACGGGUCGAAAGACUCGCUAAUACCGCAUAUGACGAAAGUUGAAAGGAGUAAUCCGUCUAAAGAUGAGCCCGCGUCCGAUUAGCUAGUUGGUAGAGUAAAAGCCUACCAAGGCGACGAUCGGUAGCUGGUCUGAGAGGAUGAUCAGCCACAAUGGGACUGAGACACGGCCCAUACUCCUACGGGAGGCAGCAGUGGGGAAUUUUACGCAAAGGGCGAAAGCCUGACGUAGCGACACCGCGUGAGCGAAGAAGCCCCUUGGGGUGUAAAGCUCUGUCAGCUGGAACGAAAAAAUGACGGUACCAGCAGAGGAAGCAUCGGCUAACUACGUG